RNAcentral lists this ribosomal RNA (519 nucleotides) under uncultured Glomus. RNAcentral describes it as "SSU rRNA". It matches the Rfam family "Eukaryotic small subunit ribosomal RNA", at positions 569 to 1088 of the family's 1831-position model. Lineage: Eukaryota; Fungi; Glomeromycota; Glomeromycetes; Glomerales; Glomeraceae. The record is from RNAcentral.
AGCAGCCGCGGUAAUUCCAGCUCCAAUAGCGUAUAUUAAAGUUGUUGCAGUUAAAAAGCUCGUAGUUGAAUUUCGGGAUCAGUACGCCGGUCGUGCCUUCGGUAUGCACUGGUGUCACUGGUUUCUCCCUUCUGAAGAACCAUCAUGCCAUUCAGUUGGUGUGGCGGGGAAUCAGGACUGUUACUUUGAAAAAUUAGAGUGUUUAAAGCAGGCUCGCGCUUGAAUACAUUAGCAUGGAAUAAUGAAAUAGGACGUUUGACCCUAUUUUGUUGGUUUCUAGGAUCGACGUAAUGAUUAAUAGGGAUAGUUGGGGGCAUUAGUAUUCAAUUGUCAGAGGUGAAAUUCUUGGAUUUAUUGAAGACUAACUACUGCGAAAGCAUUUGCCAAGGAUGUUUCCAUUAAUCAAGAACGAAAGUUAGGGGAUCGAAGACGAUCAGAUACCGUCGUAGUCUUAACCAUAAACUAUGCCGACUAGGGAUCGGAUGAUGUUAAUUUUUAAUGUACUCGUUCGGCGUACCG